AUAAGGGGCUCCUAACUCUGUGCCAGCAGGAGCGGUAAUACAGAGGCCCCAAGCAUUAUCCGGAUUUACUGGGCGUAAAGGGUGCGUAGGCGGUUAUAUUAGUCAGGUGUUAAAUUCUGGGGCUCAACCCCAGGCUCGCAUUUGAAACGGUAUAACUAGAAGGUGUGAGAGGUAAGCAGAACUCAUGGUGUAGGGGUGAAAUCCGUUGAUAUCAUGGGGAAUACCAAAUGCGAAGGCAGCUUACUGGCACAUUCUUGACGCUGAGGCACGAAAGCGUGGGUAGCGAAGCGGAUUAGAUACCCGCGUAGUCCACGCCCUAAACGCUGUCUGUUGGCUAUAGGGAGUAUCGACCCUCUCUGUGGCGAAGCUAACGCGUUAAACAGACCGCCUGGGUAGUACGAUCGCAAGAUU
This 411-nucleotide ribosomal RNA is filed under the name uncultured bacterium. RNAcentral's name for it is "bacterial SSU rRNA". It matches the Rfam family "Bacterial small subunit ribosomal RNA", at positions 486 to 895 of the family's 1533-position model. The record is from RNAcentral.